AUUGAACGCUGGCGGUAGGCCUAACACAUGCAAGUCGAACGGCAGCACAGUAAGAGCUUCCUCUUACGGGUGGCGAGUGGCGGACGGGUGAGGAAUACAUCGGAAUCUACUUUUUCGUGGGGGAUAACGUAGGGAAACUUACGCUAAUACCGCAUACGACCUACGGGUGAAAGCAGGGGAUCUUCGGACCUUGCGCGAUUGAAUGAGCCGAUGUCGGAUUAGCUAGUUGGCGGGGUAAAGGCCCACCAAGGCGACGAUCCGUAGCUGGUCUGAGAGGAUGAUCAGCCACACUGGAACUGAGACACGGUCCAGACUCCUACGGGAGGCAGCAGUGGGGAAUAUUGGACAAUGGGCGCAAGCCUGAUCCAGCCAUACCGCGUGGGUGAAGAAGGCCUUCGGGUUGUAAAGCCCUUUUGUUGGGAAAGAAAAGCAGCAGGUUAAUACCCCGCUGUUCUGACGGUACCCAAAGAAUAAGCACCGGCUAACUUCGUG
Molecule: ribosomal RNA, 492 nt
Filed under: uncultured bacterium
Lineage: Bacteria
Description: partial 16S ribosomal RNA
Rfam family: Bacterial small subunit ribosomal RNA
Source: RNAcentral